Non-coding RNA from Corylus avellana, 1194 nucleotides. The record is from RefSeq and is a predicted model, not a curated record. NCBI's taxonomy places the organism in Eukaryota, Viridiplantae, Streptophyta, Magnoliopsida, Fagales, Betulaceae.
UCUUCUCAUUUCCUUCGCACCAGAUAUCCACAUAUACAGCUAUGGCCACAUGCCUCCUCAUUCCCACCACCUACGCUCCAAAAUGCCAUCAAUCUCCCACCCCGAAAAUCACCUGCUCGUCCCUCACGGCCCAGUCCCAGGCCGUCAAGCGCCACCUCCUCAGCCUCAUCUCGGACCAGGACCGAGGCAUCAAGACCCAGAAAGACCCUGCGAGACGCGCUUCGAUCGUCGAAGCCAUCGACGCCAUGGCCGUUCUCGGCCGUGAUACAGUCACCACUGGCGCGUCCCUCUCGGCCACGUGGCGGCUGCUCUGGACCACGGAGAAGGAGCAGCUCUUCAUCGUCGAGAAUGCACGGUUGUUUGGUACUCAGGCCGGUGACGUCUUGCAGGUGAUCGACGUCGAGAAAAUGACUCUAAACAAUGUGAUCACUUUCCCUCCCGACGGGGUUUUCUUUGUUCGCUCCGGUAUCGAAAUCGCUUCGCCGCAGAGAGUGAAUUUUAGAUUUACAGGCGCGGUUCUAAGGGGGAAAAACUGGGAGAUCCCACUACCGCCGUUCGGGCAAGGUUUGAAUCUAUAUACCUCGAUGAUGACAUUAGAGUAGCAAAGGAUAUCCGUGGAGACUAUUUAGUUGUUGAUCAUGCUCCUUAUAGUUGGAAAGAGUGAGGACGGAAGUGCAAUGUCUUGGUAUUUUAAAAUUCUUGCGCAGCAACUUUUGGUUACUCCAGUACUAUUGCCUUCACAUUUAUCGGACAAGUUUGUUUCAUGUCCAGAUUUCUUUCUUGCUUUCAGACUAUAUUCUCUAAAUCCUCAUUUCUGCCUUACUGUCAGGGUCUCUUUCAGAGGGAACUUCUGACUCAUGGAAAUCUGCUCCAUCCACAUGAUGGCUUGCAUCACUAUAGCAGGAGCAAAGCAUGAUGUAAGCAGAGGUUUGAGAGGGAUAUGGGAUUAAGACACUGAUUAAAAUGAAGAGCAGGCUAUAUGAUUAGGCACUAAGCCAAUGGCUUGAGACAUGGCAUGUUGGCUGGGAUUUGCUAUUCUCAUUUAUGAUCUUCUGCUUGUCGUUUAGCUUAUUUUGUUUGGUUUCUUAGGUUGGAGGCUCGACUUUCUGCACAUAUUUAUUACCACUUGUAUAUUUAUCUGGAAAUUUCCUGUUAAAAUCACCCUUUGACUGAUUAAAUUAAUACCCUUAUUCC